GCAAUGAUGAAAAGUUGGUUUUGACAAGCGAUGAAACUAUUCACCAAUUCCUCUAAGAAGUUCUGAGCUC
Small nucleolar RNA from Gadus morhua (Atlantic cod), 70 nucleotides. Ensembl annotates it as small nucleolar RNA SNORD61. NCBI's taxonomy places the organism in Eukaryota, Metazoa, Chordata, Actinopteri, Gadiformes, Gadidae. The record is from Ensembl.